AAUAGGGCGUAGGGGAGCCGAUUUUUCGGCUGAGAGGAUAUAAUUGAGUAUCGACCCUUUGACCUGAUUUGGAUAAUGCCAACGAAGGGAAAUUAAGAUUUAUUGAG
This is a non-coding RNA of Clostridiales bacterium 41_21_two_genomes, 107 nucleotides long. Lineage: Bacteria; Bacillati; Bacillota; Clostridia; Eubacteriales. The record is from Rfam.